AUGUUUGCGAACAGGUGUGCUGUAGCUGUGAUGUCGGAGAAAGGCGGGGCAAAGCCCAAUGAGGGGCUCAUGGUGAUGCAGGAGCUGGAGGACAGGCUGAACGAACACAUUGACAAACUGGAGCACAUCCGCCUGAGUGCCACCGAGCUCAAGGAUAAUUUGUCUGGGAACCAUGCUGACCUCAAGCAGUCCAUUUCUGACCACCUUGACUGGCUGAGUCAACUCGGUGAACGUGUGGAAACGCUUCAGAUGAACACUGCUGUCUUUGUGCAGGUGAGAUUGGUGAAUCUCCCAAGAAUUGUGGGACUAUUAAAUAUCAUAACUGUGUGCUGCGCAUCCAGUACACACAAUAAGUAACAUUUCAUUUAGUUCUUUUGAUUCUUGCAACCGCUGUGUACAUUUCCAGAUGAACACCAAGCCUCGAACCUGGGGCAGCAAGCAAGGGUCCCGGCGCUCUGCUCACGUGGGGCCCCUUCAACCAGCCCCUGGUGAUGAUGCUCAGUCUGAGUUUGGGUGGUCGCCUGUGCGUACGAGACGCAGCAGCGAUGCGGCGUCUGAGAUGUCCUGUGCCUGGUAACCAAGUGUGUGACUGAGCAUUUGAAAAAACAGGUCACACACUGGAGCAGGGCUGCCCAAGAGUGUAAAAAUAAAGUACAGUUACAGUAUUGUGAAAGAGUAUUU
This 681-nucleotide long non-coding RNA is filed under the name Scleropages formosus (Asian bonytongue). RNAcentral's name for it is "lncRNA (ENSSFOG00015024555.1)". The record is from RNAcentral. Lineage: Eukaryota; Metazoa; Chordata; Actinopteri; Osteoglossiformes; Osteoglossidae.